This is a long non-coding RNA of Dermacentor albipictus, 506 nucleotides long. RefSeq lists it as uncharacterized. The record is from RefSeq and is a predicted model, not a curated record. Lineage: Eukaryota; Metazoa; Arthropoda; Arachnida; Ixodida; Ixodidae.
CUCAGGUGCGCAGGCGGCCGUGAACUCGGCUACGCAAACAAUCACAGGCGUACCGAAGACCUUUCACAGGAGCGAAUACGUGGCGGGAUUCACAGGACUACAAACGGAAACCCGCGAAAACGAAUAUCAAUGCUGGGAGCAACCGAUGGCUCGAAAAGGAGGCUGGGGCAUCUUGUUUCGGGCCUCAGUGGAUUCCCUGUUUCCUACAUGGCAACUGCAGCGGCUGCACGUCUACCGAUAACUUACACGUGCGCUACUGCGACACGCCCCUUUGAUAAGAGCUUAUAUACCGCGGCACCGAGCGUAACCGGUGCACUUCUUCCCAGCUUAUCACAGCCGGCGGCCCAGCUGUGCUGGCGCUCGCCAGUCACCUUGUCAAUCGAAUAAAGCAAUUCCCUUUGCGUACUUUCCCUGCAACCGCCUGGUUCCUGCCUGCCUGGAAGAACACCACAUAUUGGCGACGAGAAUCAACGCAUCGACAGCGGGACCCUGCAGCUAAGUUGGCA